GCUGGCAGGAUGGUCUCGAUCUCCUGACCUCAUGAUCCACCUGCCUCAGCCUCCCAAAGUGCUGGGAUUACAGGCGUGUGCCACUGCGCCCAGCCUCCUCAGACAUUCUUAAGUAAAACUGGUGUGUGUUUUUUGUUCUGUUUUUUUUUUUAACUGCAAGUGUGUGGCAAUGAAAUAGAGUUUGGUGUUCUUGCUGAUUCUUACCAAGCCCAGCAGUUUUCCCUACCAGUGUAUCUGCUUCAUCAGUACAAAUGUCAACACAGUGUAAAAGGCAAAUAAUGUCUUAGUAUUGUUAUGAAAAUGUUUUACCUUCACGAACUCCUGAAAGAGCCUUGGGAGCUUUCAGGGGUCCACAGACCACACAUUAAGAGUUGAUGAGGUAAACACCACUGGGGACCAGAAACAGAACAGAAAAUAUGGCAGGGAGAAGGACUAUUCCCAAAUUUGCUAACUAUUAAUAAAUCUGGAGAAAGUUGAAUCGACUCUCUGAAUUUAUGACUGACUUAGAGCUGAGUACUUAAAAGUGUAGAAAUAGAACCCGGGAGGUGGACAUUGCAGUGAGUCGAGAUGGCACCACUGCACUCCAGCCUGGGUGACAGAGUGAGACUCCAUCUCAAAAAAAAAAGUGUAGAAAUAAAGAUAUAUAUAUAGCCACUCAAGACCUGGACCAAUCUACUUGCAGGCUUAAGGUCUAGAUCUGUGAUGACUUGAAUUCACUUCUGUUGGUGGUUUGGGGGUUCCUUCAUAAGGUGUGGUGUUUGUGGACUAGGGGACUCAGAAGGCCAAGCAGAAAUGACCAUGACCAUAAGUCCGCUAGACAGGGAUAGAAGCAGGAGGGGACAGUCAAGUUG
This is a long non-coding RNA of Sapajus apella (tufted capuchin), 851 nucleotides long. RefSeq lists it as uncharacterized. The record is from RefSeq and is a predicted model, not a curated record. Lineage: Eukaryota; Metazoa; Chordata; Mammalia; Primates; Cebidae. The transcript is spliced from 2 exons.